Molecule: ribosomal RNA, 498 nt
Filed under: uncultured bacterium
Lineage: Bacteria
Description: partial 16S ribosomal RNA
Rfam family: Bacterial small subunit ribosomal RNA
Source: RNAcentral
AUUGAACGCCGGCGGCAUGCUUUACACAUGCAAGUCGAACGGUAACAGGCCGCAAGGUGCUGACGAGUGGCGAACGGGUGAGUAAUGCAUCGGAACGUGCCCAGUCGUGGGGGAUAACGCAGCGAAAGCUGCGCUAAUACCGCAUACGAUCUGCGGAUGAAAGCGGGGGACCUUCGGGCCUCGCGCGAUUGGAGCGGCCGAUGUCAGAUUAGGUAGUUGGUGGGGUAAAGGCCCACCAAGCCGACGAUCUGUAGCUGGUCUGAGAGGACGACCAGCCACACUGGGACGGGGACACGGCCCAGACUCCUACGGGAGGCAGCAGUGGGGAAUUUUGGACAAUGGGGGCAAGCCUGAUCCAGCAAUGCCGCGUGCAGGAAGAAGGCCCUCGGGUUGUAAACUGCUUUUGUACGGAACGAAACGGCUCUGGUUAAUACCCGGGGCUAAUGACGGUACCGUAAGAAUAAGCACCGGCUAACUACGUGCCAGCAGCCGCGGUAA